CACCUGUGACAUAUGGAAAUUCCCACACUAGGGGUAGAAAUGUAGCUGCAGCUGCAAGCCUAAACCACAGCCACAACAGCAAGGAAUCUGAGCAAAACAAUGGCUUACAAUGCAGUGCCCUAUAAUGCAGCUUGCAGCAAUGCUGGAUCCUUAAACCAAUGAAGGAGGCCAGGGAUAUUAGUUGGGUUUGUAAAUUGCUGAGCCAAGAAGGGAACUCCAAAAGAACACAAAUUCAUAAUGAAGCUGUGCAAUUUUUGAAAAAAUAUGGACAUGUAAGACUGAUGUAUGGUAUUAAUUAGGAAACAUGGGUAAAACCCUUAGCCUAUGCUUCAAAAAAUUAUUCACCAUUAUGAAUGAUAGUUUGUGGACUAGUUUAGCAUCAAGCAGAUUUACUUAAUAUGGUUUUGAAAUAUGGUUUGCAGGGUCUGUUUUGAUCAGUCAGUAGAACAUCCAGACUUUUAAUAUGAGGGUCCAAAGUUCAAGUUCCUGUCCAGGUGCUGUGUGAAAUAUAGUUCACAAACAAUAUUAUGUUAGUUUCAAGUGUAUGAUGUGGUGAGUUGACAUUUUCAUACAUUAUUAAUUAUUAAUCUAGUAAUGAUCUAUCCCCAUAAGCUUUUAUAGUAUUUUGGGUCAUAUUAUUUAUGCUGUGUAUUAAAUCCCAAGAUCCACCCAUGUUGUUGGAACAUGGCUGUGAACAGUGUGAUGCACUUGAAUAUCUCCCUUAUGGCCAUGUUGUUGCCAAUGAAAGUGGCAAAAAUUUUUGUCACCAUAAUGGGAUGGCACAGAUAGUUGUUUUCAUUGAUGGGGAUUCACUUUCAUUCUCUCAAGUGUGGAUAUCCAGUUUCCCAACACCAUUUAUUGUGUGGUUUUGGGUCUCUUGUCAAAGGUCAGUUGAGCAUAUAUGUGUGGGUUUACUUCCGGGCUCCAUAUUCUGUUCCACUUUUUAUAUGUCUCUUUUUAUGUCAGUAACAUACUGUGUUGAUUUCUAAAGGAUUGAAGUAUAGUUUGCAAUCAGGAAAUGUGAUGCCUAAGGGUUUGUCAAUUUUUAUCAAGAUGGCUUUGGCUCUUGUGGGUCUUUUGUGGUUUCAUGUGGAUGGAAUAAAUGAUGGUGAUGGGAUGUGAGCUGCAACACACUUCAGGCUGAGUGGUGUGGGAUCUCAAGUGCUGAUCCUACUCUGUUUGGUCCUUUCUGCAGUGGAUGGAGUGGCAGAUUUCAUUGUGGGUUUUGAAAGUUCAAGGAUGUUCAUGGCCACUCCUUUUCCUCCUGGGCAGGCAGAAGGGGGGACAAUGUGUUUCUGAUAUUAGAGACAUCUAACCGGAUUCCUGUAGCUCAGCCCCUUUGGACCCUGCACUGGAUCCAUAUCAAGAGGAAGGCAAGAAAUUGAGCAAUUAACUCAAUUGUCUUCUUCUUUAAAUCAGAAGCUUGGGGGUAUGUUCCCAGGGGUCUCAGUUUUGUUGGUAAAUGUGGAUCUUCCCUGUUCAGUGUUCUCCUUCGUAUCAACAGGUAUGGAAGUGAUAAAUAUCCUAAGGCCAUGGAAGCAUAAGAGCUGAGUCCACAGGUAGUAUCCUGGACCUGCAGAGAUCAGAGCAAGGUGGGGAAACAUCACUUGGCCUUAAUGUGUGCUUUGAUAUGAGAACUAUGAAAAAGAAAGAGAGAAAAUGUGUUUAUAUUGGUUGUAUAACUAUGAGUUUUUACUGACUGAUUUACAUGCUGAACUACAUGGUGCCACCAAGCCUCAAGUGGCUAUAACAUGAAAAUGUAAAAAAUGACCUGAAAUUAAAAUUUGUGUUUAUCAGUUUCACGAGCUAUAUUUCAAGUCUCCAGUAGUCACAGGAAACUGGUGCUGCUGUAUUGGACAUUAUAGCUAUAGUUUUUCCAUGGUUGUGGAAAGUACUAUUGUACAGUGCUAAUAAGAGACCAUGGAGGUUGGAAAUCUGCAGUACAUGUGUGCUUGGGUUGCUGUGCUCAUGUUGCUUCUUUUUAUGUGUUUUGUGUGUUGGGUUUGACCAUAUGUGUUUCGUAGUGUGUGUAGUGGAUUUUCUGCGUCUUUGAGUAUGUAUGGUUUGUGAGUUGUGUGGGUGACUGGAUGUGGUCUUUGCAUAUUUUUUAAAGCAGCUUGUGAGGUGUAAUUGAUAGACAAAAUCUGCAUAUAAGUAAUGUAUAUAAUUUGCAGAGUUUGGACAUGUGCACACACUUAUGAGGCUACCAGCACAAUCAAGGUCAACAUAUAUGUCUCCUCUCAAAAAAUCCUUAUGUCCCUUAUAUGUGGUAAGAAAACUCAAUAUGAGAUCUACUCUUUUAAGGAACUUUUAGGUGCACUAUAUAGUCUUUGACUCUAGGCCUUAGGCUGUAUAACAUGUCUCUAGAACUAAUUAAUUCAUCUUGCAUAACUGACACGAUUUCAAUAUUAUAACAACACUGCAUUUCCCCUACCCCAGCCCUUAGUGACUGCCAUUUAUUUUCUGCUUCUAUGAGUUUGUCAAAGUGAAAUUAUGCAAUAUUUGUCCUUGUAGAACUGGCUUAUUUAACUUAGGAUAAUGUCUCCUCAUUCUUACAUCUUGCCUUCCUGUUUUUUAAGGCAAAACGAUAUUCUGUUGUGUGUAUAUGCCACAUUUAUACAUUCAUCUGUCUUUGGACAUUUGGCUUAUUUCUAUAGCUUAUCUAUUGUGCACAGAGCUUCAGUUCACAUGGGGGAAUCAAUACACCUCUGAGAUACUGAUUCCAGUUCUUUCUGGUCUAUACCCAGAUGUGGGAUUACUGGAUCAUAUGGUAGUUCUAUUUUGAAUGUCUUGGGCAAUGUCCAUACUGUUUUCCAUAAUGGCCACACCACGUUACAUCUCCACACACAGUAUAGAAGGGUUCUUCAUUUCUUUUUUUUUUUUAAAUUGUGAUUGACAUAAGAUUCCCUUUUAUGUUUUUUUAAAUUCUUUUUUGUCUUUUGUCCUUUUAGGGCCACACCCACAGCAUAUGGAUAUUCCCAGGGUAGGGGUCUAAUUGGAGCUGUAGCUGCUAGCCUACACCAGAGCCAUGGCAACACCAGAUACAAGCCUUGUCUGCAACCUACAACACAGCUAUGGCAAUACCAGAUCCUUAACCCACUGAGUGAGGCCAGAGAUCAAACUUGCAUCCUCAUGGUUCCUAGGCAGAUUCCUUUAUGUGCACCAGAAUGGGAACUCCAAAUGAUUCCAUUUCAAUUUUGGCCAAAAACAGCACCUGGUGUCUUAUUCUUGUGUCGCUAUGUGUCAUUCUGAGUGUCUGAUUCUGUUUAUAACACAUAUAAUCCUGUCCUUGGAUGGUUGUAGAGCAGAGAGGGCCAGGUGAGGGCCUGGGAAAUAUGUAUAUUCAUUUGACCUGGUCAGACAGCCUCACAGCCUGAGUCUUCUUGUCUCAUCUCUAGACAUAAACAGGCAACAAACCAAGUCCUCUUUAUGCUAAGUUAGGAGCACUUUGUCCAGAUGGUUUGAAGGCUACUGAACCUCUUGCAAAGUUCCUCAUUGGUGUUUAAUGAUUUCCACACUUCCAUUCUAGGGAACAGGAUGGGAUAUGUUUUGGAACCUUGUCUAGUUAAUGAGAUGACUGUGAAUUCUGAUAUAGGUCCUUGGUCCUACAGCCUCUGCAAUAUCUUGGCUCUCUGGUCCCUAUAUCAGGCAGAUUCCCAUGUCCCUCACUGUUCAUGCAUGAUCCUAACUGAACCAUUUUAAAGCCCUGGUGAUGGAAGGGGAGAGAGAAAGAAAGGCAGAUAUGAAGGAAAUUAUUUUUUGAAGGAAAUUAUUUUUGGAAAAAAUGUUAAAAAUACAAUGAGUCAAGUGAUGUAAACCCACUAAUCUUCAAGUGGUGUCCAUGAUUGGGGUCUGUACUGUUUUCUGGAUGUGAGAUCAAGACCUCAGAAGUAGGGAGACGGGAUUAAGAUGGCAGAAUAGAAGGACUGGAGCAAACUUCUCUUCUAAAAACAACAAAAUUCAGAACUAAAGAUGGCACUCUUCACCCAAAUGGACCAAAAACAUUAAAAAAGAUACCCUACUCCAGAAGAAAAAGAGGAGGUCACAUCAAGAGGUAGGAGGGGCAAUUUCACAAUAUAAACAACCCCAUACCUCCUGGGUGGGAAGCUCCACACACUGAAAACUAACUGGUUCACAGAGACUCACCUACAGGAGUGCGAGUUCUGAGCCACACAUCAAACUCUCACGUGUGGGGAUCUGACACAGGGAGAAUGUGCCCCGGAGCAUCUGGCAUUGAAGGCCAGUGGGGCUUGUGUGCAAGAGCUCCAUGGGACUGGGGGAAAUGGAGACCCCAUUCUUAUAAAGCACACACAGAUUUUAACGUGCACUGAGUCCCAGAGCAAAGCAAAGUCUUCAAGGGAAUCUGGGUCAAACCUGACCGCAGAUCUUAGAGGACAUCCUGGGAAAACAGGUGAACGUGGCUUGUUGUGAGGGAAGGACAUUGAAGGCACAAAUCUUGGGAAUAUUCAGCAGCAGUGACUUUCUCUGGAGGUGGCCAUUUUGGGAAAAUCUUGCCCCACCCAUCAGCCAGCUGCUGAGAAAACCCAGGGCAAACAACAACCCAGGUGGGAUCACAAACCUACCCCUCAGUAAACAGGCUACCUAAAGACCCCUCAGGCACACAGCUGCCUCUAAGCCCAUCCAGAGACUAAGCCCCAUCCACCAGAGGGAUUGGAAUCCACUCCUCCUACCAGGGGGCAGGCAUCAGCCCCUCCCAUCAGGAAGUGUACACUGAGCCCCCAUACUGACUUCAGCCACAAGAGGGGCAGACAUCAGAAGGAAGAGAGGGUACAACUCUAUUAUCUGUAAGAAGGUCAUCACACAAAAACCUAUCAAAAUGAAAAGACAGAGAACUAUAACUCAGAUGAGGGAGAAAGGAAAAACCACACAAAAACAGCUAAGCAAGGAGGAGAUUCUUAGCUUCCAGGGAAGAGAUUUUAGAUUGUUGAUGCUGAGGAUGAUGCAAGACAUUGGAAAUAAACUGGAGGCAAAUAUGGAUAACUUACAGGAAACACUGACCAAAGAGAUACAAGAUAUAAAACUUAAAAAAGAAGAGAUGCAAAAUACAAUAACUGAAAUAAAAAAUUCACUAUAAGCAGCUAACAGCAGAAUACAG
RNAcentral lists this long non-coding RNA (5116 nucleotides) under Sus scrofa (pig). Its description in RNAcentral is "lncRNA (ENSSSCG00040031865.1)". The record is from RNAcentral. Lineage: Eukaryota; Metazoa; Chordata; Mammalia; Artiodactyla; Suidae.